Molecule: ribosomal RNA, 429 nt
Filed under: Chloroflexota bacterium
Lineage: Bacteria; Bacillati; Chloroflexota
Description: Chloroflexi bacterium partial 16S ribosomal RNA
Rfam family: Bacterial small subunit ribosomal RNA
Source: RNAcentral
UGGGGAAUAUUGCACAAUGGGCGCAAGCCUGAUGCAGCCAUGCCGCGUGUAUGAAGAAGGCCUUCGGGUUGUAAAGUACUUUCAGCGGGGAGGAAGGGAGUAAAGUUAAUACCUUUGCUCAUUGACGUUACCCGCAGAAGAAGCACCGGCUAACUCCGUGCCAGCAGCCGCGGUAAUACGGAGGGUGCAAGCGUUAAUCGGAAUUACUGGGCGUAAAGCGCACGCAGGCGGUUCGUUAAGUCAGAUGUGAAAUCCCCGGGCUCAACCUGGGAACUGCAUCUGAUACUGGCAAGCUUGAGUCUCGUAGAGGGGGGUAGAAUUCCAGGUGUAGCGGUGAAAUGCGUAGAGAUCUGGAGGAAUACCGGUGGCGAAGGCGGCCCCCUGGACGAAGACUGACGCUCAGGUGCGAAAGCGUGGGGAGCAAACAGG